RNAcentral lists this ribosomal RNA (544 nucleotides) under uncultured bacterium. Its description in RNAcentral is "bacterial SSU rRNA". It matches the Rfam family "Bacterial small subunit ribosomal RNA", at positions 358 to 916 of the family's 1533-position model. The record is from RNAcentral.
GGAAUCUUGCGCAAUGGGCGAAAGCCUGACGCAGCAACGCCGCGUGCGGGAUGAAGGCCUUCGGGCUGUAAACCGCUUUCAGCAGGAACGAAAAUGACGGUACCUGCAGAAGAAGGAGCGGCCAACUACGUGCCAGCAGCCGCGGUGACACGUAGGCUCCAAGCGUUGUCCGGAUUUAUUGGGCGUAAAGAGCUCGUAGGCGGUUGAGUAAGUCGGGUGUGAAAACUCUGGGCUUAACCCGGAGACGCCAUCCGAUACUGCUCUGACUAGAGUUCAGGAGGGGAGUGGGGAAUUCCUAGUGUAGCGGUGAAAUGCGCAGAUAUUAGGAGGAACACCGGUGGCGAAGGCGCCACUCUGGACUGAAACUGACGCUGAGGAGCGAAGGCAUGGGUAGCAAACAGGAUUAGAUACCCUGGUAGUCCAUGCCGUAAACGGUGGGCACUAGGUGUGGGUUCCAACUAACGGGAUCCGCGCCGUCGCUAACGCAUUAAGUGCCCCGCCUGGGGAGUACGGUCGCAAGACUAAAACUCAAAGGAAUUGACGG